GGAAACUGGGGCUAAUCUCCCAUAGGUUUAGGGCACUGGAAGGUCCCUAAACCGAAAGGGGCUCUGCCCGCCCGAGGAUGGGCCGGCGGCCGAUUAGGUAGUUGGUGGGGUAACGGCCCACCAAGCCCAUAAUCGGUACGGGCAGUGAGAGCUGGAGCCCGGAGAUGGACACUGAGACACGGGUCCAGGCCCUACGGGGCGCAGCAGGCGCGAAACCUCCGCAAUGCUCGAAAGAGCGACGGGGGGACCCCAAGUGCCGUGGUACAACCACGGCUUUUCCGGAGUGUAAGAAGCUCCGGGAAUAAGGGCUGGGCAAGGCCGGUGGCAGCCGCCGCGGUAAUACCGGCGGCCCGAGUGGUGGCCACUAUUAUUGGGCCUAAAGCGUCCGUAGCCGGGCUUGUAAGUCCCUGGCGAAAUCCCACGGCUCAACCGUGGGGCUUGCUGGGGAUACUGCAAGCCUUGGGACCGGGAGAGGCCGGGGGUACUCCUGGGGUAGGGGUGAAAUCCUAUAAUCCCAGGAGGACCGCCAGUGGCGAAGGCGCCCGGCUGGAACGGGUCCGACGGUGAGGGACGAAGGCCAGGGGAGCAAACCGGAUUAGAUACCCGGGUAGUCCUGGCUGUAAAGGAUGCGGGCUAGGUGUUGCUUGGACCUCGAGUCCAAGCAGUGCCGCA
This 672-nucleotide ribosomal RNA is filed under the name uncultured archaeon. RNAcentral describes it as "bacterial SSU rRNA". It matches the Rfam family "Archaeal small subunit ribosomal RNA", at positions 135 to 805 of the family's 1478-position model. The record is from RNAcentral.